Molecule: ribosomal RNA, 475 nt
Filed under: uncultured Methanosaeta sp.
Lineage: Archaea; Methanobacteriati; Methanobacteriota; Methanomicrobia; Methanotrichales; Methanotrichaceae
Description: bacterial SSU rRNA
Rfam family: Archaeal small subunit ribosomal RNA
Source: RNAcentral
UUGACGGGGAGCACCACAACGGGUGGAGCUUGCGGUUUUAAGUUGGAUUCAACGCCGGAAAUCUUACCGGGACCGACAGCAAUAUGAAGGCCAGGCUGAAGACUUUGCCGGAUUAGCUGAGAGGUGGUGCAUGGCCGUCGUCAGUUCGUACUGUGAAGCAUCCUGUUAAGUCAGGCAACGAGCGAGACCCACGCCCACAGUUGCCAGCGUACUCUCUGGAGUGACGGGUACACUGUGGGGACCGCCGCUGCUAAAGCGGAGGAAGGAAUGGGCAACGGUAGGUCAGUAUGCCCCGAAUAUCCCGGGCUACACGCGAGCUACAAUGGUUGGUACAAUGGGUAUCUACCCCGAAAGGGGACGGGAAUCUCCUAAAACCAAUCUUAGUUCGGAUUGAGGGCUGCAACUCGCCCUCAUGAAGCUGGAAUCCGUAGUAAUCGCGUUUCAACAGAACGCGGUGAAUACGUCCCUGCUCCUU